Molecule: transfer RNA, 73 nt
Filed under: Medicago truncatula (barrel medic)
Lineage: Eukaryota; Viridiplantae; Streptophyta; Magnoliopsida; Fabales; Fabaceae
Description: tRNA-OTHER
Source: RNAcentral
GUGAGCAUAGCUCAGUUGGUAGGACAUUGCAUUAUUAUAUGCAGGGGCUGGGGUUCAAACCCCGGACACCCCA